UACGGAGGGUGCAAGCGUUAUCCGGAUUCACUGGGCGUAAAGGGUGCGUAGGUGGUGAGGUAAGUCGGAUGUGAAAUCUCCGGGCUUAACCCGGAACGGUCAAGUGAUACUGUCGGGCUAGAGUGCAGAAGGGGCAACUGGAAUUCUCGGUGUAGCGGUGAAAUGCGUAGAUAUCGAGAGGAACACCUGCGGCGAAGGCGGGUUGCUGGGCUGACACUGACGCUGAGGCGCGAAAGCCAGGGGAGCGAACGGG
RNAcentral lists this ribosomal RNA (253 nucleotides) under uncultured prokaryote. Its description in RNAcentral is "partial 16S ribosomal RNA". It matches the Rfam family "Bacterial small subunit ribosomal RNA", at positions 524 to 776 of the family's 1533-position model. The record is from RNAcentral.